Molecule: RNA transcript, 925 nt
Organism: Carya illinoinensis
Lineage: Eukaryota; Viridiplantae; Streptophyta; Magnoliopsida; Fagales; Juglandaceae
Exons: 7
Source: RefSeq, a predicted model, not a curated record
UCCAACUUUACUAUUUCUCAUAUCGGAUACCCGCGAUUGAUGUAAUAUGUCAAAAGAACGGCCGACGCACGUGCGCUAACCUCUCCGUCUUCUCAGUCUUCGGCUUCGACUCCUCGAGUCCUUUCCCUUGUCGGAAAGAGAGAUGCUUGAAAACCAUACCCCAACACUAUCUGCAGCAGAUACAGCCGUCAGGCGUAAUGCUCCUUCCAAUCUAAGGAAUCGACCUCUCAACAGGCGCAAGUCGGCAGAGAAGAAUCAAGUUGGUGCUUUAAGAAACUUUCCCAUCAUCGAUAAUGGGGUUUCAGGGAGCAGCAAUCUUCUGAAUGAAAAUCAUCGAUCAGGGUUAAUAGCUUUAGAGGGAUGCUGUUGCAGUGAAGCUUCUCAGCUCUUGGAUGAUCGCUGGGCAGCUGCGUUGGAUUGCUACAAUAAUCCAUCAAUAGAUUUAUCUGAGAGACCAGUUAUGUACUCAGGAAGUGCCCCAUCAGCAUGUUUUAGACUUCUCAUCAGUUGAUGGCUCCAGUUGAUGCUGGCCCUUAUGGAUCACUUAUGGACUUCUUGGGUGAACUUCGCCGAGCACAGCGCAAUGCAAAUACCAAUUUUAGCACUUAACACAACAUCUACACAUGACUCACUUGUGACUUCUGGGGAGGUGCGGGGAAGUUAAUGGCGUGAAUCAGCCGGAUCAACGGUCAAUCAUCUAUCUCAAUUUUCAACUCAAAUACCCUACAUUAGUCUAGUUGUCAAUGAUUAAUGGCCAAGGUAUUGGUUUAAAAAAAAAAAAAAACUUUGAAUUCGAAGGCCCUUUUUUGGACGAAAUGAAUGGUUGCUUGUCUUGCUAUAAAAAAUAUUGUAGUUUGAAACUUUGAAAUCACAAUACCAAUCUGUCUGUCUGGCUGGGGCCGGGGCUGGACCUACAUUUGUCAAA